RNAcentral lists this transfer RNA (84 nucleotides) under Armatimonadota bacterium. RNAcentral describes it as "tRNA-Leu". It matches the Rfam family "tRNA". From Rfam's summary of the family: Transfer RNA (tRNA) molecules are approximately 80 nucleotides in length. Their secondary structure includes four short double-helical elements and three loops (D, anti-codon, and T loops). The record is from RNAcentral. Lineage: Bacteria; Bacillati; Armatimonadota.
GGGCGAGUGGUGGAAUGGCAGACACGCUAGGCUUAGGACCUAGUGCCGCGAGGCGUAGGAGUUCGACUCUCCUCUCGCCCACCA